AAAGUCUUAGUUAAUUCAUAACAUUAAUUUGUCAAAUUAAAAUUACUAUUAUUAGUAGACUUUU
This 64-nucleotide transfer RNA is filed under the name Cryptocephalus lividimanus. RNAcentral's name for it is "tRNA-Asp". Lineage: Eukaryota; Metazoa; Arthropoda; Insecta; Coleoptera; Chrysomelidae. The record is from RNAcentral.